This 110-nucleotide ribosomal RNA is filed under the name marine eukaryotic metagenome. The record is from RNAcentral.
GACGACAAUAGCAAGUGGGAACCACCUGAUUCCAUCUCGAACUCAGUAGUGAAACCGCUUAGCGCCGAUGGUAGUGUGGCGUUUCGCCAUGUGAGAGUAGGUCAUUGUCA